This 531-nucleotide ribosomal RNA is filed under the name uncultured bacterium. RNAcentral's name for it is "bacterial SSU rRNA". It matches the Rfam family "Bacterial small subunit ribosomal RNA", at positions 369 to 917 of the family's 1533-position model. The record is from RNAcentral.
GUAUGGGGGGCACCCUGAUCUAGCCAUGCCGCGUGAGUGAUGAAGGCCUUAGGGUCGUAAAGCUCUUUCGCCUGUGAUGAUAAUGACAGUAGCAGGUAAAGAAACCCCGGCUAACUCCGUGCCAGCAGCCGCGGUAAUACGGAGGGGGUUAGCGUUGUUCGGAAUUACUGGGCGUAAAGCGCGCGUAGGCGGAUUAGAAAGUUGGGGGUGAAAUCCCGGGGCUCAACCCCGGAACUGCCUCCAAAACUGCUAGUCUAGAGUUCGAGAGAGGUGAGUGGAAUUCCGAGUGUAGAGGUGAAAUUCGUAGAUAUUCGGAGGAACACCAGUGGCGAAGGCGGCUCACUGGCUCGAUACUGACGCUGAGGUGCGAAAGUGUGGGGAGCAAACAGGAUUAGAUACCCUGGUAGUCCACACCGUAAACGAUGAAUGCCAGUCGUCGGAUAGUAUACUAUUCGGUGACACACCUAACGGAUUAAGCAUUCCGCCUGGGGAGUACGGUCGCAAGAUUAAAACUCAAAGAAAAUUGACGGA